GAUGAAGAACGCAGCGAAAUGCGAUAACUAAUGUGAAUUGCAGAAUUCAGUGAAUCAUCGAGUCUUUGAACGCACAUUGCGCCCCCUGGUAUUCCGGGGGGCAUGCCUGUCCGAGCGUCAUUGCUGCCCUCAAGCACGGCUUGUGUGUUGGGCUCCGUCCCCCCGGGGACGGGCCCGAAAGGCAGCGGCGGCACCGAGUCCGGUCCUCGAGCGUAUGGGGCUUUGUCACCCGCUCUGUAGGCCCGGCCGGCGCCAGCCGACAACCCAUCAUCCUUUUCAGGUUGACCUCGGAUCAGGUAGGGAUACCCGCUGAACUUAAGCAUAUCAAUAAGCGGAGA
This 338-nucleotide unclassified non-coding RNA is filed under the name soil metagenome. Its description in RNAcentral is "partial contains 5.8S ribosomal RNA, internal transcribed spacer 2, and large subunit ribosomal RNA". The stretch from base 1 to 120 matches the Rfam family "5.8S ribosomal RNA", at positions 35 to 154 of the family's 154-position model. The record is from RNAcentral.